This is a long non-coding RNA of Mauremys reevesii (Reeves's turtle), 923 nucleotides long. RefSeq lists it as uncharacterized. The record is from RefSeq and is a predicted model, not a curated record. Lineage: Eukaryota; Metazoa; Chordata; Testudines; Geoemydidae. The transcript is spliced from 3 exons.
GCGGGACAUCCGGCCCCUCACCCCGCCCGGCAUCUCCUGCGCGCGCCCCCAACCGACAACCCGCCUCGCGCGCCCCUGUCCCAACAGCACCCACCCUCCAGCUCCACGCCUCGCGCCCUGCUCUGCCUUCACGCGCCUGCCCGCUAGCUUUAGAGGCGAUCCUCCUUGAGUGUCUGUGUAUUGGCCAGUCUCGCGUUCCCUUGGGUUUGGGAUAGUCUCGCUCUGUCCAGCUCUCUUGUGUCACCCGUUUGGGUGUCUGUUACCAGCUCCAGUGACACAGGCUGAUUUUGUUCUGGAGAGUCUGCUAAGCAUUGCACGUUUCAUUGUGCUACUAAGGAAGUCAGCUAGGCCUGGCCUGGAGUAGGAAAAAUACUUGUAUCUGGCAGCAGGUGUCAGCACCAGUUCACCUACAUUUAGAUGAAACUUCCUGAGUAAAGCAGGAAAAACGGUCUUCAACACCUCACAAGAAUACUAUGAGCAGCUGGAGAAGAGGACUCCAGACCAGAAGCUGUGGAAAGGAUCUACAAUGUACAUCAAAUAACUUGACUAAAACUGAUUCUAAAUAUGCUUUGGAGCCAAAGACAGCACAUUUUUGGCAUCAAGUUAAUUUGCUUUUGCCCACUACAUGGCAUACAAAGCCUUAUAAGGUAAAGUGCUUUUAUACCUCACUGGUUUAGCUGAGACCUUCACACUUCAUUGUGCUUUGCAUUCCAUGGCAAGAAGCCUGACUCACUGAUCUCCCUCGCUGUGGUUUUAUCUCAGUCCCUGAGUCAAUUCUUUGUUCUCUGUCAGGUUGUAUUUUUAUGUCUCUUGUCAAAGUACCAAUAGCUUUUAACUAGAGAUUGCCAUUCCUUUUCUCAAGCCAGGCUAUGUUUUGCUGGGUCUGUCAUCACUUAACUGAUACUUCUUAGGGGAGGGGUUUA